This 456-nucleotide unclassified non-coding RNA is filed under the name Hevea brasiliensis (rubber tree). Lineage: Eukaryota; Viridiplantae; Streptophyta; Magnoliopsida; Malpighiales; Euphorbiaceae. The record is from RNAcentral.
GUUCGGAAAGGAAGUAAAGCAAGAAGCCUAACCCUUGAAGAAGCAACAGAUACAACACUUUUCUGUAGCUCCAUUGUCCAUGAUCUGGCCUACCGGGCUGCAACUAUAGCCAUUGAAAAAGAAGACUCGGUCUGCCUGGAAGGUUCUUGGCCAACAGUUACAGUUCUGGGAAAGUCCACUGCAGAUAGAAAGGAUUCACGCAGCAGAACUACGGGAAAACGUACAUCAAAAUCCCUGAAAGUCAGACGGAAACGGAUGGAAUUGGAUGUAAAAUCCCCUUCUACCAAGACCGAGAAUGAUGAAAAUGCCAAUGAAUCUAUGGUACGUAAUGUUGGCCUUUCUAAUAACACGGAUAGUAUAAAGCCUCCGAAGCUGGAAUCCAAGUGCAAUUGCACAAUAAUGUAAAAGUCUUUCAUUCACACCGUGCCAAUGGUGCCCACCACGAAAUUCUGCUAC